UCUCUCUCUCUCUUUGAAAAGCACUUUUGUUUCUCUCUUCCCCUUCCUUCUCCUUCAUUCUCUCGAAACCCUAAAAAUAGCCGAUCCCCUCCCCUUUGCACACACAAGCCAGUACAAUCGAUGGGAAAAAGAUCGAGGGAGAAAGAUUGAGGCUUGAAAACUUCGACAACUAAUCUAAAUGGGAUUCAAUCCCCUGUGAAGCCAGUACAAAAGUGGUUCUUGGCUCCAGUUCGACAUCUGCUGAUGAAGAACUCUUACGCAUCAGAGCUACCUAUGUGUCUCACGAUGCUCAGCUCCUUUGAAAAGCCAGGGGUGGCACCAGUUCGCCCCUAGAAAAGUUCAGCAGUGGUCGGUGCCGCUCAGAUUAAGGGGUUUGGGUGAGGUUUCAUACAGGGGCUUGGCUGAGGUUUCAAAAAAUUAGGAGGUUUCCUUUCCUUUUAAGUUUAAUAGUUAAAAUGGGCUUAAUGAAGUGCUGAAAAGGGUAAUUUGUGAAUUUGUGAUAUGUUCAUCAGUUAAAUCCUUACUUUUUUAUAUUUUUAGUUUUUUUUGUGGAUACACAGGGAACAACAAUAAUUGACUUGUAGUUUUUGCUUUACUUAUAUAUUAAUGACUGAACAUUUCAGUUCAUAUCUUAUUUGGAAUCUAAAUGGCUUUUAUAAAUUUUUAACAACCUCAGAUCUGAUAUGAAUCUUCCGAGUCAUGAGUUUAACAAGCUCAUCUUUUGACUUUUUUUCCGAGUCAUGAGUUUAGCAAGUUCAUUUUUUGACUUUUUUUUUCUUCCGAGUCAUGAGUUUAACAUGCUUUUAUAUUUUUAUGUUUAACUUAUCAUUUUGUGAAAGUCGAUUUAUUGGAAAUCUCAGGAGGAAAAGAGAAGGGGAAAUGGUGCAGUGUUUUGUCUGGAGAUUAUAGCUUAAGAUCUGCACUGUGGCUGUGGUGGUAGGUGUGGCUCAGAUGUUGGCGAAAAAGAGAACAUAUAAUUGCUGCUAUGGAGUUUAGCAAACCAAGCAAGCCCAGGGUUUGGUACACAAGACCGUGGAGCCCAUCUGCAUCGGUGAAGCCUCUUAGUCAUAGUGGUUGCAGAGAAAAUCGUACCAAUAAGCAUUCAUAUCAUUUGAAAGUCAAUUUCGCAGAGCUUGGAAGCAACACGCUCGGGCAAUAUAGCACCUUCGAACUUUAGAAGGGUUAAAGUAUCUUAUUUCCACCAAACUAAUGGCAGUUCCAUAUUCACUUAGCAGCUCAUAUUUAAAUGUGCUUCUUACAUACCUCUGGUAGUGGUGUGGAUCCUAACUCUAAUUGUGAUUUAAUUUUUUUUCCUUUUGAUUAGGUUGAUAUAGGGUUAUAAUAAUGUGUGUCUUUUAGGCAGGGAUUGCAGUUGCUUAGGCUACAAUAACACCACUUACCAUCAGAGCUUUUCGCAACAAGCUUCUUGAGCUAAUUGUAUAGGUUUGUUAGUAAUUUGGACACAGUCUGCUCUGAGUCAAACCCAACUAGCCGUCUGGCCCAUUUUGCCUCCCUUAAUUAUAUCCUCUGAUGAUUUGUUUGGUUUCAGUAUAGACCCCGGUUAUGUGAAAAUAUCUGGAGGGAUCAAAAUAAUGCUGAUGUUGAGGGUGGAUUUGUGGAAAGGACCCCUCAAGAGUUAUACACUCCGAAUGUAGUGGGUUGCGGACUUCAUCAACAGACAUUGUAUUUCUUAUGUACAUGCGUAUCUGGGACUUAAGAUAGCAAAAGAUCCAAAACAGACAUUCAUAUAAGUUAUUUCCAAUCUUCCACAUACUUUUUGUAAUCCUCUUUUUUAGAUGCCAUCCUAAACAUGUUUUUAAUGGUGUAUGCAGAUAAUAAAAAAUGCCAACUUGAAGAAUAAGAGAAUUAGGCUCUGGGACAUAUGGUACUGGUUAAGAUGGUAGAUAGCGAGGGUCGGAUGUCAAGGGUUUCAGUCGCUAACAACGAAUCUGCAAGUUUUAAUCUUUCCAACAUAUUAUAUAUGUCUACUUGUUUGCUGAUGUUAUUUGCUGUUGGAUUUGGUAAUUUGGGCCUGUAUGAAAUCCUAACAAAAUGAAAGUCAAAUAUAGAAAAAUCAAAAUUUGGCUUU
Helianthus annuus (common sunflower) is the source of this 2089-nucleotide RNA transcript. RefSeq lists it as uncharacterized. Lineage: Eukaryota; Viridiplantae; Streptophyta; Magnoliopsida; Asterales; Asteraceae. The transcript is spliced from 6 exons. The record is from RefSeq and is a predicted model, not a curated record.